RNAcentral lists this long non-coding RNA (2642 nucleotides) under Jatropha curcas. RNAcentral describes it as "long non-coding RNA (JCUR_LNC001917)". Lineage: Eukaryota; Viridiplantae; Streptophyta; Magnoliopsida; Malpighiales; Euphorbiaceae. The record is from RNAcentral.
ACUCUCUCGUCUUGAUCGCAAACAAACACUAAGCACAUCUUCUUUUCAGAUCAAGGAAUAAAUGAAUUCGAGUUUUGAAUGAUUUUUGGUAUUUAUAUAUUGUUUUACUUAUGGGAGUUUUAAGAAAGGUUUCUGAUUUCCAGAGAGGUGUAGAUGUUUGAUUGAAAGGGAAGGGAGGUAGAACUAAAAAUAGCAAGCACUCAAAGCACUCAAAUUUCAGUUGUUAGCCAUCGAUCUUAUAUGUAGGAUCAUCAUUCUUGGUGAUUCUCUACCUUUUGAGGUGAUCCAGUUGAAUAAUUUCUUGUUGCAUGUUCUUGGAUUUGGAGAAAUCUGGGAUUUUUUGGUGGUUGCUUCACUUCAAUGGGUUCAAAGAGAUCCUCUUAACGUAUGACUAAUGAUUUGUAUUUUGCAAGUCUUUAUUGGAUAUGGUGUUUGGAAUUUUUCAAAAGUGAAUUGUGUUUAUUGCUACUGAGGAAGGAAAAGUCAUGAUAAUUGUUUUUUGUUUUUGCUAAUGUGAAGGAAAAAGUGAAGAUGAUGCUUAAUGGAAUUAGAUCUAUAAAUUCUGGAACAAAUUUUGAUGGUUGUGUUUUAUUCUUUUUGCUAAUGCUUCUCCAAGUCCCUUUUUAUUAAUUUAUUAUUCUAUUACAUAUUUUCAUCCCUGGUUUUGAUUUCAAUUUAGAUUUGGAUCUUUGAUUUGCCUUGGAUUAAUUUACAAGAACCUGAUUUUUGGGUUGGGUAUAUAAAAGGGAAAGAUAUUAGAAAAAUCCAAAAUUGACUAUUUUCAUUUCUCUCCUCAUUUUUCCAUUCUUCCGUUUUUUUUUUUUUUUUUUAAAUCACCAUUUUAAAUUCUAGUAAUGUUAAACAAAUCCUAAAUCUACCGUUUAGUUCAAUAAAAGAUAUAAAUUGAAAAAAUUAUAAGUAAAAAGUCAUUGUGUAUGUUUUUAUCCCAAUAAUUAAAUUUUAGUCAAUAGAAUAUGAAAUAAAUUGUAUACCUUCUUUAUCUUUUCUUUUUUGACAGUUUCUUUUACAUUGCUUUGCUUAUUUGCAUAGUAUUAUUUAGUUAUCUAUGUAUGUAUGAAUUGUGUAUUAUAAUUCUCAAGCAAUUUUACGAAUAUUUUUUAUUUAAAAAAUUCUGUAGGAUAGAAAGUUCUUUAUUUUCAUGCUUCAAGAAUAUGCAAGGUUAAAAUGGUAAAUUAAUAAUUAUAAUAUAUUUUUUCUAAGUCUUUUAAAACAAGAAAGAUAUAAUAUUUAUUUUUUUACAUCUUCCCCCUUUAUUUUCCUUCCAUUCCAAACAUGGGAGAAAAAAUAAGGAAAGAAAAUAAAGAGUAAAAUCUUUUAUUAUUUUUCUCUUAUAUUUUUUCCUCUUAUUUUCCUUCCUCUCUUUUUCAAACAAAAUGCAAAGGUCCAUCAAGAGUCGUAAGAAAAUAAAUUCUUUCAAACAUAUAGUGAAAUAAGAAGAAAAUACAUAAACGGCAAAAAAAAUGAAUGCAUAAAUUCUAAAAUUAAAAAUAAACGGCCAAAAAAUGAAUUAACCAACUUUGGACAAAGAUGUAAUUGACAAGAAAAUUAAAUUUGAGAUAGUAAUUAAAAAAAUUAAACAAAUUAGUUAAAUUUGUCACGCGUAAAAGUUCAGAUUUUGUUUUUUUAUUUAUCCUUUGUCUUUUAGUUCAUAUCAAUUAGAUUCAAUUUUGAACCAAAUCCAAAUUUACUUUGCAAAAAAUUUAAAAUUUUAAUUAAAAAAUCAAUUUAGUUUAAUUUUUAUUAAACUUAAAAAAAUUGAUUUAUUCAAACCAAAUCAAACCAAAUCGAUUUAUAAUUUUAUAUAAUAUUCGGUUCGAUUCAAUAUACGCCUAAAAGAUAAUCUGCCUUCUAGUUUCGAUUGAACCAAAACGACCUAAUACCCAACCUUCACCCUCAUAAAAAUAUUACUAAUAUAUCAAAUUCAAAAAGAAAAUAAACAAAUCAAUUGAUCAAAACCCAACAAAACAAAAUUUCAUUAUACAAGAAUUAAGAAAAUAUAUAUAUAUAUAUAAAAAAAAAACCCACUGUCUGAUCUUCAUAUUUACAUCAUCUAAUUCUCUACAUAAAACAGUAGAAAAGUACUAUAAUCUUCUAAUAUUGGAGCACCAAGCGUCUACCACAAACAGAGCAAUAAAACUUUCUCUUAGUCUUGAAAUAGAAAGGCAAAAAACAGAACCUCAACUGACUCUCAACAUCCAUAGCCUGAAUCAUCCCUCCACAGUACGGACAUGCCCCAGGCGCCGACUGCCUCGCGAUCACUCUCUCGUCUUGAUCGCAAACAAACACUAAGCACAUCUUCUUUUCAGAUCAAGGAAUAAAUGAAUUCGAGUUUUGAAUGAUUUUUGGUAUUUAUAUAUUGUUUUACUUAUGGGAGUUUUAAGAAAGGUUUCUGAUUUCCAGAGAGGUGUAGAUGUUUGAUUGAAAGGGAAGGGAGGUAGAAAGAGACCAGUGCGCGUGUUGAUCCAGAAAAUUCCAAUCUAACCGACCUUGUCUUGAUGCCUUUCGGUUUAUUUUAUUCUUAACUCGAUAUAAGAAUUUUUGUACGCGUUUGUUGGCAAGAAUAUUCCACGUAUUGCGUGUUAUUAUCUGAAUAACUAGUCUUAAGUAGGGAUGGUAAUUUU